Suncus etruscus (white-toothed pygmy shrew) is the source of this 108-nucleotide small nuclear RNA. The record is from RefSeq and is a predicted model, not a curated record. NCBI's taxonomy places the organism in Eukaryota, Metazoa, Chordata, Mammalia, Eulipotyphla, Soricidae.
GUGUUUACUUCGGCAGCACAUAUACUAUAAUUGGAACUAUACAGAGAAGAUUAGCAUGGCCCCUGAGCAAAGAUGACACACAAAUACUGUCAUCCUAUUUAGAUUUAG